Molecule: ribosomal RNA, 2191 nt
Filed under: Chlamydia trachomatis
Lineage: Bacteria; Pseudomonadati; Chlamydiota; Chlamydiia; Chlamydiales; Chlamydiaceae
Description: 23S ribosomal RNA
Rfam family: Bacterial large subunit ribosomal RNA
Source: RNAcentral
UUUAGUUUUGUUGGGCAUUCGGUGGAUGCCUUGGCAUCAAGAGCUGAUGAAGGACGUUGCGGCCUGCGAUAUGCCUCGGGGAGUUGGCGAGCGAGCUUUGAUCCGAGGGUGUCCGAAUGGGGGAACCUAACCAGGGUUGUGCUUGGUUACCAUCAUCUGAACGUGUAUAGGGUGGUGGGGGGAACGCGGGGAAGUGAAACAUCUUAGUACCCGUAGGAAAAGAUAUUCCGUUAGUAGUGGCGAGCGAAAGCGGAGGAGGCUAAACCGUGUGCGUGUGAUACUCGGCGGGGGUUGCGUGUGCGGUGUUGUGGGGCUUGUUCGUCUCUUCUCUGCCGGGGAGGGGCUUGCGUGUGUGAUGGUAGUUGAACCGUGUGGGAUAGCGGACCGGAGUGCGUGAUAGUCGUGUAGAUGGACUGUUGCAUGCGUAGGUGGGAUAGGUGCCCGAGUAGUGCGGGACUCGUGAAAUCUCGUGUGAAUCUGCCAGGACCACCUGGUAAGCCUAAAUACUUCUUGAUGACCGAUAGUGCAUAGUACCGUGAGGGAAUGGUGAAAAGUACCCCGGGAGGGGAGUGAAAUAGUACCUGAAACCGUGUGCCUUUAAGCCGUCAGAGCCUUGUGGGGUGAUGGCGUGCCUUUUGAAGAAUGAGCCUGCGAGUCAGUGAUACGUGGCGUGCUUAACCCGUGUGGGGUAUGCGUAGCGAAAGCGAGUCUGAAAUAUGGCGUUUGUCGCGUGUUCUGGACCCGAAGCGGGGUGAUCUACCCAUGGCCAGGUUGAAGCAGAGGUAAGACUGUGUGGAGGACCGAACCCACCAGGGUUGAAAACCUGGGGGAUGAGCUGUGGGUAGGGGUGAAAGGCCAAUCAAACUCCGUGAUAGCUGGUUCUCCCCGAAAUGCAUUUAGGUGCAGCGUUGUGUGUUGCCUGGUGGAGGUAGAGCUACUGGAUGGCCGAUGGGCCCUAUGGGUUACUGACGUCAGCCAAACUCCGAAUGCCAUUAGGUUGAGCAUGGCAGUGAGACUGCGGGGGAUAAGCUUCGUAGUCGAGAGGGAAACAGCCCAGAUCAUCAGCUAAGGCCCCUAAGUGUGCGCUAAGUGGGAAAGGAUGUGAGAUCGCGGUGACAACCAGGAGGUUGGCUUAGAAGCAGCCAUCCUUGAAAGAGUGCGUAAUAGCUCACUGGUCAAGUGGUUUCGCGCCGACAAUGUAGCGGGGCUUAAGCGUACCGCCGAAGCUGUGGCACUCACACAUAAAAGCCUGGGCAGGGGACCUGCCUAAGGUUGUGUGGGUGGGUAGGGGAGCGUCCUGCGUGCGGUGAAGCCUGCUGGGAACGGUUGGUGGAGCGUGUGGGAGUGAGAAUGCAGGCAUGAGUAACGAAUGGCGGGUGAGAAUCCCGUCCGCCGAUUGACUAAGGGUUCCAGGGCUAGGUUUAUCCGCCCUGGGUUAGUCGGGUCCUAAGGCGAGGCCGACAGGCGUAGUCGAUGGACAACCAGUUGAUAUUCUGGUACCGCGUUGUGACCGCCAAAUACUGAAGCUUUUAUGCUAACCACCCGCACCUCAACUGUUCAUUCCUUCGGGUUUGAACAGCCAGGGUGUUGUGGGAUCCUGAUUGUUGUAGGUAAGCGUGUUAACAGGGGUGACACAGGAAGGUAGCUGCCGCGCACCGAUGGUUGUGUGUGUCUAAGGUUGUGGCCCGUCUGCCAGGCAAAUCCGGCAGACACGUAGGGUGAGGACUGAUGGGGGUGCCCCUUGGGGGUGUCUGGUGGUGAUCCUAAGCUGUCAAGAAAAGCCUCGACGUUAGGGCAUGACGCGCCCGUACCCUAAACCGACUCAGGUGGUCAGGUAGAGUAUACCGAGGCGUUCGAGUGAAUCAUGGUUAAGGAACUCGGCAAAAUUCCUCCGUAACUUCGGGAUAAGGAGGACCCCGUGACGUUCCCCCAACUUCUGGGUGCGAGCGUUGUGGGGUCGCAGAGAAUAGGGAGAAGCGACUGUUUAUCAAAAACACAGGUGCGUGCGAAGUCGUAAGACGAUGUAUACGCACUGACGCCUGCCCGGUGCUGGAAGGUUAAGAGGAAGGCUCAACCACCUUUGGUGGUGAAGGCUUGAAUUUAAGCCCCAGUAAACGGCGGUGGUAACUAUAACCAUCCUAAGGUAGCGAAAUUCCUUGUCGGGUAAGUUCCGACCUGCACGAAUGGCGUA